This 496-nucleotide ribosomal RNA is filed under the name uncultured bacterium. Its description in RNAcentral is "partial 16S ribosomal RNA". It matches the Rfam family "Bacterial small subunit ribosomal RNA", at positions 29 to 507 of the family's 1533-position model. The record is from RNAcentral.
AUGAACGCUGGCGGCGUGCCUAAUACAUGCAAGUCGCGCGAACGGACGAGAAGCUUGCUUCUCUGAUGUUAGCGGCGGACGGGUGAGUAACACGUGGAUAACCUACCUAUAAGACUAGGAUAACUUCGGGAAACCGGAGCUAAUACCGGGUGAUAUUUUGAACCGCAUGGUUCAAAAGUGAAAGACGGUCUUGCUGUCACUUAUAGAUGGAUCCGCGCUGCAUUAGCUAGUUGGUAAGGUAACGGCUUACCAAGGCAACGAUGCAUAGCCGACCUGAGAGGGUGAUCGGCCACACUGGAACUGAGACACGGUCCAGACUCCUACGGGAGGCAGCAGUAGGGAAUCUUCCGCAAUGGGCGAAAGCCUGACGGAGCAACGCCGCGUGAGUGAUGAAGGUCUUCGGAUCGUAAAACUCUGUUAUUAGGGAAGAACAUAUGUGUAAGUAACUGUGCACAUCUUGACGGUACCUAAUCAGAAAGCCACGGCUAACUACGUG